CAGCCGUAAACAAUGUGCGUUAGGUGUGUCGGUAACCACGCGUUACUGAUGCGCCGAAGAGAAAUCGUGAAACGCACCACCUGGGAAGUACGGUCGCAAGGCUGAAACUUAAAGGAAUUGGCGGGGGAGCACCACAACAGGUGGAGCGUGCGGUUUAAUUGGAUUCAACACCGUAAAACUCACCAGGGAAGACUGUUACAUGAAGGCCGAGAUGAAGACUCUGCUAGAUUUUCAGAGAGGUGGUGCAUGGCGUCAGUGACU
This 261-nucleotide ribosomal RNA is filed under the name uncultured archaeon. Its description in RNAcentral is "partial 16S ribosomal RNA". It matches the Rfam family "Archaeal small subunit ribosomal RNA", at positions 748 to 1008 of the family's 1478-position model. The record is from RNAcentral.